RNAcentral lists this ribosomal RNA (253 nucleotides) under uncultured bacterium. RNAcentral's name for it is "partial 16S ribosomal RNA". It matches the Rfam family "Bacterial small subunit ribosomal RNA", at positions 524 to 776 of the family's 1533-position model. The record is from RNAcentral.
UACGUAGGGUGCAAGCGUUGUCCGGAAUUAUUGGGCGUAAAGAGCUCGUAGGCGGUGUGUUGCGUCGGCUGUGAAAACCCGGGGCUCAACCCCGGGCCUGCAGCCGAUACGGGCAGACUAGAGUUCGGCAGGGGAGACUGGAAUUCCUGGUGUAGCGGUGAAAUGCGCAGAUAUCAGGAGGAACACCGGUGGCGAAGGCGGGUCUCUGGGCAUGUCCUGACGCUGAGGAGCGAAAGUGUGGGGAGCGAACAGG